GCGGUUGUGGUGUAAUGGUAACACUACAGUUUGUGGCACUGUCGAUCCGGGUUCAAUUCCCGGCAAUCGCCCA
Molecule: transfer RNA, 73 nt
Filed under: Candidatus Zambryskibacteria bacterium CG10_big_fil_rev_8_21_14_0_10_42_12
Lineage: Bacteria; Candidatus Zambryskiibacteriota
Description: tRNA-His
Rfam family: tRNA
About the family: Transfer RNA (tRNA) molecules are approximately 80 nucleotides in length. Their secondary structure includes four short double-helical elements and three loops (D, anti-codon, and T loops).
Source: RNAcentral